Molecule: ribosomal RNA, 468 nt
Filed under: uncultured bacterium
Lineage: Bacteria
Description: partial 16S ribosomal RNA
Rfam family: Bacterial small subunit ribosomal RNA
Source: RNAcentral
GACGAUCGCUGGCGGCGUGCUUAACACAUGCAAGUCGAACGGAAAGGCCCUGCUUUUGUGGGGUGCUCGAGUGGCGAACGGGUGAGUAACACGUGAGUAACCUGCCCUUGACUUUGGGAUAACUUCAGGAAACUGGGGCUAAUACCGGAUAGGAGCUCCUGCUGCAUGGUGGGGGUUGGAAAGUUUCGGCGGUUGGGGAUGGACUCGCGGCUUAUCAGCUUGUUGGUGGGGUAGUGGCUUACCAAGGCUUUGACGGGUAGCCGGCCUGAGAGGGUGACCGGCCACAUUGGGACUGAGAUACGGCCCAGACUCCUACGGGAGGCAGCAGUGGGGAAUAUUGCACAAUGGGCGGAAGCCUGAUGCAGCAACGCCGCGUGCGGGAUGACGGCCUUCGGGUUGUAAACCGCUUUCGCCUGUGACGAGGCGUGAGUGACGGUAAUGGGUAAAGAAGCACCGGCUAACUACGUG